UACGUAGGGGGCAAGCGUUGUCCGGAAUUAUUGGGCGUAAAGCGCGCGCAGGCGGUUCCAUAAGUCUGAUGUGAAAGCCCACGGCUUAACCGUGGAGGGUCAUUGGAAACUGGGGAACUUGAGUACAGAAGAGGAGAGCGGAAUUCCACGUGUAGCGGUGAAAUGCGUAGAUAUGUGGGGGAACACCAGUGGCGAAGGCGGCUGUCUGGUCUGUAGCUGACGCUGAGGCGCGAAGCGUGGGGAGCGAACAGG
Molecule: unclassified non-coding RNA, 252 nt
Filed under: uncultured Bacillaceae bacterium
Lineage: Bacteria; Bacillati; Bacillota; Bacilli; Caryophanales; Bacillaceae
Description: contains 16S-23S intergenic spacer region
Rfam family: Bacterial small subunit ribosomal RNA
Source: RNAcentral